Molecule: small nuclear RNA, 133 nt
Organism: Perognathus longimembris pacificus (Pacific pocket mouse)
Lineage: Eukaryota; Metazoa; Chordata; Mammalia; Rodentia; Heteromyidae
Product: U11 spliceosomal RNA
Exons: 1
Source: RefSeq, a predicted model, not a curated record
AAUAAGGGCUUCUGCUGGGUGUGGUGCCCACAGGGCAGUGUGCCUGCUCCUUGUGCAGAAUCGACAGCAAGAAAUUUUGGAAGCCUCAGUUUUGGUGUGUGUGGAGCAGGUGAUCAUUGGUCCCUGUGCCCUC